Molecule: ribosomal RNA, 153 nt
Filed under: Arthrobotrys ellipsospora
Lineage: Eukaryota; Fungi; Ascomycota; Orbiliomycetes; Orbiliales; Orbiliaceae
Description: 5.8S ribosomal RNA
Rfam family: 5.8S ribosomal RNA
About the family: 5.8S ribosomal RNA (5.8S rRNA) is a component of the large subunit of the eukaryotic ribosome. It is transcribed by RNA polymerase I as part of the 45S precursor that also contains 18S and 28S rRNA.
Source: RNAcentral
CAAAACUUUCAACAACGGAUCUCUUGGUUCCCGCAUCGAUGAAGAACGCAGCGAAACGCGAUAGUUAAUGUGAAUUGCAGAAUUCAGUGAAUCAUCGAGUCUUUGAACGCACAUUGCGCCCAUUGGUAUUCCUUUGGGCAUGUCUGUUUGAGC